GGUUGUGGCUCAGUGGUAGAGCACUAACCUAGCAAGUGUGAGACCUUGGGUUCAAUUCUCAGCACCA
RNAcentral lists this transfer RNA (67 nucleotides) under Ictidomys tridecemlineatus (thirteen-lined ground squirrel). Its description in RNAcentral is "Spermophilus tridecemlineatus (thirteen-lined ground squirrel) tRNA". It matches the Rfam family "tRNA". Rfam says of the family: Transfer RNA (tRNA) molecules are approximately 80 nucleotides in length. The record is from Rfam by way of RNAcentral. Lineage: Eukaryota; Metazoa; Chordata; Mammalia; Rodentia; Sciuridae.